RNAcentral lists this ribosomal RNA (254 nucleotides) under uncultured bacterium. RNAcentral describes it as "partial 16S ribosomal RNA". It matches the Rfam family "Bacterial small subunit ribosomal RNA", at positions 524 to 776 of the family's 1533-position model. The record is from RNAcentral.
UACGUAGGGGGCAAGCAUUGUCCGGAUUUAUUGGGCGUAAAGAGCUCGUAGGUGGUUCGGUAAGUCGGAUGUGAAAUCUCCAGGCUCAACCUGGAGGGGUCAUUCGAUACUGCCGUGACUAGAGGUCGGUAGGGGAGUGUGGAAUUCCUGGUGGAGCGGUGAAGUGCGCAGAUAUCAGGAGGAACACCCGUAGCGAAGGCGGCACUCUGGGCCGAUACUGACACUGAGGAGCGAAAGCGUGGGGAGCGAACAGG